Molecule: ribosomal RNA, 429 nt
Filed under: bacterium
Lineage: Bacteria
Description: partial 16S ribosomal RNA
Rfam family: Bacterial small subunit ribosomal RNA
Source: RNAcentral
UAGGGAAUCUUCGGCAAUGGGGGCAACCCUGACCGAGCAACGCCGCGUGAGUGAAGAAGGUUUUCGGAUCGUAAAGCUCUGUUGUAAGAGAAGAACGUGUGUGAGAGUGGCAAGUUCACACAGUGCCGGUAACUUACCAGAAACCGCCGCCUAACUACGUGCCAGCAGCCGCGGUAAUACGGAGUUCCCGAGCGUUGCCCGGAUUUAUUGGGCGUAAAGCGAGCGCAGGCGGUGUAAUAAGGCUAAAGUUAAAGGCAGUGGCUAAACGCGUGGUAGCGUUGGAAACUGUUAAACUUGAGUGCAGAAGAGGAGAGUGGAAUUCCAUGUGUAGAGGUGAAAUGCGUAGAUAUAUGGAGGAACACCGGUGGCGAAAGCGGCUCUCUGGUCUGUAACUGACGCUGAGGCUCGAAAGCGUGGGGAGAAAACAGG